RNAcentral lists this long non-coding RNA (251 nucleotides) under Setaria viridis. RNAcentral describes it as "long non-coding RNA (SVIR_LNC004284)". Lineage: Eukaryota; Viridiplantae; Streptophyta; Magnoliopsida; Poales; Poaceae. The record is from RNAcentral.
AGCAAUUAGGCCACUGGAAAAAACAAUCCAACGGUUUGUUGCUUCCAGUGCUCCCAAGGUGUUAAAUGUUGUUCCUUCCUUGAGAGCAUCGAUAUUCCGUGCACGUUGUGCGAGUUAUUGCCGUUUUGCUUUCCUUUUAAAACCCAGGUCCUACUGCUUUCACCCUAUAUCUCCCUCAUCAUCACCAUCAUCCUUCCCCUUGCUCGAUCACCUUCCUUGUUCUCAUCAACCACAAAGCUGUGAACUCAUUC